UACGUAGGGGGCAAGCGUUAUCCGGAUUUACUGGGUGUAAAGGGAGCGUAGGUGGCUCGAUAAGUCAGAAGUGAAAGCCCAGAGCUCAACUCUGGGACUGCUUUUGAAACUAUCGAGCUAGAGUGCAGGAGAGGUAAGUGGAAUUCCUAGUGUAGCGGUGAAAUGCGUAGAUAUUAGGAGGAACACCAGUGGCGAAGGCGGCUUACUGGACUGUAACUGACACUGAGGCUCGAAAGCGUGGGGAGCAAAC
RNAcentral lists this ribosomal RNA (250 nucleotides) under uncultured bacterium. RNAcentral describes it as "partial 16S ribosomal RNA". It matches the Rfam family "Bacterial small subunit ribosomal RNA", at positions 524 to 773 of the family's 1533-position model. The record is from RNAcentral.